AUGAGUAAAGUGGCGCACGGGUGAGUAACACGUGACUAACCUACCCUUGAGUGGGGAAUAACUUCGGGAAACCGAGGCUAAUACCGCAUAACACCUACGGGUCAAAGGAGCAAUUCGCUUAAGGAGGGGGUCGCGGCAGAUUAGUUAGUUGGCGGGGUAAUGGCCCACCAAGACAGUGAUCUGUAUCCGGCCUGAGAGGGCGCACGGACACACUGGAACUGAAACACGGUCCAGACUCCUACGGGAGGCAGCAGUGGGGAAUUUUGCGCAAUGGGGGAAACCCUGACGCAGCAACGCCGCGUGGAGGAUGAAGUCUCUUGGGACGUAAACUCCUUUCGAUCGGGACGAUAAUGACGGUACCGAGAGAAGAAGCCCCGGCUAACUUCGUGCCAGCAGCCGCGGUAAUACGAGGGGGGCGAGCGUUGUUCGGAAUUAUUGGGCGUAAAGGGUGCGUAGGCGGUUCGGUAAGUCUUGUGUGAAAUCUUCGGGCUCAACUCGAAGUCUGCACUAGAAACUGCCGGGCUUGAGUGUGGGAGAGGUGAGUGGAAUUUCCGGUGUAGCGGUGAAAUGCGUAGAUAUCGGAAGGAACACCUGUGGCGAAAGCGGCUCACUGGACCACAACUGACGCUGAGGCACGAAAGCUAGGGGAGCAAACAGGAUUAGAUACCCUGGUAGUCCUAGCCCUAAACGAUGAUCGCUUGGUGUGACGGGUACCCAAUCCC
This 722-nucleotide ribosomal RNA is filed under the name uncultured bacterium. RNAcentral's name for it is "bacterial SSU rRNA". It matches the Rfam family "Bacterial small subunit ribosomal RNA", at positions 86 to 839 of the family's 1533-position model. The record is from RNAcentral.